GUCCCUACGGGGGGCAGCAGUGGGGAAUAUUGCACAAUGGGGGAAACCCUGAUGCAGCAACGCCGCGUGAGUGAAGAAGUAUUUCGGUAUGUAAAGCUCUAUCAGCAGGGAAGAAGAAAGACGGUACCUGACUAAGAAGCCCCGGCUAACUACGUGCCAGCAGCCGCGGUAAUACGUAGGGGGCAAGCGUUAUCCGGAAUCACUGGGUGUAAAGGGAGCGUAGACGGCUGUGCAAGCCUGAAGUGAAAGGCGGGGGCCCAACCCCUGGACUGCUUUGGGAACUGUACGGCUGGAGUGCAGGAGCG
Molecule: ribosomal RNA, 305 nt
Filed under: uncultured bacterium
Lineage: Bacteria
Description: bacterial SSU rRNA
Rfam family: Bacterial small subunit ribosomal RNA
Source: RNAcentral